This is a long non-coding RNA of Sebastes umbrosus (honeycomb rockfish), 151 nucleotides long. RefSeq lists it as uncharacterized. The transcript has 3 exons. NCBI's taxonomy places the organism in Eukaryota, Metazoa, Chordata, Actinopteri, Perciformes, Sebastidae. The record is from RefSeq and is a predicted model, not a curated record.
ACAGUAGUAAUUAAUAAUUAACAAUACUCUCAGUAAACAAAUGGAUAUUCUACAAGGCAGCUCUAAGCACUAAACUAGAAUCAAACAAAACACAAAGGCAAGAGAAUGUGUGUGUGUGUGUGUGUGAAUGUGUGUGUAAGAGAGAGAGGGA